UAGCUACCUAUUCUUGCUUCAAGCCAGAU
Molecule: non-coding RNA, 29 nt
Filed under: Rattus norvegicus (Norway rat)
Lineage: Eukaryota; Metazoa; Chordata; Mammalia; Rodentia; Muridae
Source: RNAcentral